RNAcentral lists this ribosomal RNA (1286 nucleotides) under Salmonella enterica subsp. enterica serovar Muenchen. Its description in RNAcentral is "partial 23S ribosomal RNA". It matches the Rfam family "Bacterial large subunit ribosomal RNA", at positions 1 to 1326 of the family's 2925-position model. The record is from RNAcentral. Lineage: Bacteria; Pseudomonadati; Pseudomonadota; Gammaproteobacteria; Enterobacterales; Enterobacteriaceae.
GGUUAAGCGACUAAGCGUACACGGUGGAUGCCCUGGCAGUCAGAGGCGAUGAAGGGCGUGCUAAUCUGCGAUAAGCGCCGGUAAGGUGAUAUGAACCGUUAUAACCGGCGAUACCCGAAUGGGGAAACCCAGUGUGAUUCGUCACACUAUCAUUAACUGAAUCCAUAGGUUAAUGAGGCGAACCGGGGGAACUGAAACAUCUAAGUACCCCGAGGAAAAGAAAUCAACCGAGAUUCCCCCAGUAGCGGCGAGCGAACGGGGAGGAGCCCAGAGCCUGAAUCAGCAUGUGUGUUAGUGGAAGCGUCUGGAAAGGCGCGCGAUACAGGGUGACAGCCCCGUACACAAAAGCGUAUGUGCUGUGAGCUCGAUGAGUAGGGCGGGACACGUGGUAUCCUGUCUGAAUAUGGGGGGACCAUCCUCCAAGGCUAAAUACUCCUGACUGACCGAUAGUGAACCAGUACCGUGAGGGAAAGGCGAAAAGAACCCCGGCGAGGGGAGUGAAAAAGAACCUGAAACCGUGUACGUACAAGCAGUGGGAGCACCCUUUGGGGUGUGACUGCGUACCUUUUGUAUAAUGGGUCAGCGACUUAUAUUCUGUAGCAAGGUUAACCGAAUAGGGGAGCCGGAGGGAAACCGAGUCUUAAUUGGGCGUUAAGUUGCAGGGUAUAGACCCGAAACCCGGUGAUCUAGCCAUGGGCAGGUUGAAGGUUGGGUAACACUAACUGGAGGACCGAACCGACUAAUGUUGAAAAAUUAGCGGAUGACCUGUGGCUGGGGGUGAAAGGCCAAUCAAACCGGGAGAUAGCUGGUUCUCCCCGAAAGCUAUUUAGGUAGCGCCUCGUGAAUUCAUCUCCGGGGGUAGAGCACUGUUUCGGCUAGGGGGUCAUCCCGACUUACCAACCCGAUGCAAACUGCGAAUACCGGAGAAUGUUAUCACGGGAGACACACGGCGGGUGCUAACGUCCGUCGUGAAGAGGGAAACAACCCAGACCGCCAGCUAAGGUCCCAAAGUCAUGGUUAAGUGGGAAACGAUGUGGGAAGGCCCAGACAGCCAGGAUGUUGGCUUAGAAGCAGCCAUCAUUUAAAGAAAGCGUAAUAGCUCACUGGUCGAGUCGGCCUGCGCGGAAGAUGUAACGGGGCUAAACCAUGCACCGAAGCUGCGGCAGCGACACUCAGGUGUUGUUGGGUAGGGGAGCGUUCUGUAAGCCUGUGAAGGUGGCCUGUGAGGGUUGCUGGAGGUAUCAGAAGUGCGAAUGCUGACAUAAGUAACGAUAAAGCGGGUGAAA